UUGUGAUUAUUCAAUUAUUGUAACUGGAAAUUGUAUUACUCACUAAUUCAUUAUUCCUCUGUGAAAACUGCGAAGACCAAUUGCCGACCUGACGUUUUUCGUUUCUAUUGUUUAUAAUUUUAAGUUUAUUUUUUUACUCGGAAAAAUUUCUUACAUAGUUAAGUGCCAGAACAAAAGAAAACGAUUAAGCUGGAACGUUUUAACGUGUGGGUCGAUUUUUUACAAUGAUUUUAAAAAGAACAUGAAAUUAAUGUACAUCAUGACAUUUAAAUCAAAAACACAGACAGUUGAAUAAAAGCCAUUGCAGCAGGCCAUUUCAUCAUCAUUAUGUGAAGCUUAUAUUGAUUCUAAUCAGUUUCUUCAAUUAUCCAUUUAUCCACAAUGGAAGAACCUUAUUUAUUAAAAAAGAAGAAUGACAACAUUGACAACUACUAAAGUGAUUCAGAAAACAACCUUAAUAAUAAAAAUAAACUAUCCCGGAUAUUGUAUGCUGGUCAGUUAGAAAAUUUCAUCA
This is a long non-coding RNA of Aphis gossypii (cotton aphid), 514 nucleotides long. RefSeq lists it as uncharacterized. Lineage: Eukaryota; Metazoa; Arthropoda; Insecta; Hemiptera; Aphididae. The record is from RefSeq and is a predicted model, not a curated record. The transcript has 3 exons.